RNA transcript from Mustela lutreola (European mink), 5287 nucleotides. It is a transcript of the gene named tubulin polymerization promoting protein, with no coding region annotated. The record is from RefSeq and is a predicted model, not a curated record. The transcript is spliced from 2 exons. Lineage: Eukaryota; Metazoa; Chordata; Mammalia; Carnivora; Mustelidae.
UGCAUCCGGAGACACGGGCUGACCCGGGAGCAGAGGAACCUCAGAGCCAUGUCCUUUGGGGAAGGUCCCAGAGGGCUGGGAAGGAGGCAGGAAGUGGCACGUCCACGGCGGCUCACCUCUCCAGGAAGCACCACAGGCUCCCACAGCCUUGGCGCCGGCCUGCACGUCGAGCUGCUGCGGACAGGCGAUGGCGCCUCUUCCUCCUGUCACCUCUGCCUCCUUCCUCCAGGCCGCCGCGCGCAGGCGUGUUGCACACGUGUGCGGACGUGCACUCAGCUCACGCGUGUGCGCACAGAUGGCCGGCACACCCACUCCCUAGUGACACCUUGGCUCCCCACAGGUGGUGGGAGACGGCCCGUUCCAAGGACAGGUGCUCCGGACAGAACCCAAGACCCCGUGUGCUGCAGGCAUGGGGUCCUGGUAGCCCCCGUGGGGCGCCGGCAUCACGCGUGUGAGCACCGAGAAGGGAGCCCAUCUGGUUGCUGUCCCCGUCCUGGGGGAGGCUUGGCCCCUGGCUCCUGGGCACGGCGGGCUCCCCACUGCGGAGCUCGGGGCUGCCUGGGACCCCGGCGUCUCUGCCUCAGCUCCCGGCAGGGGAAGUGGUCUGGUGAGCGGGCUGUGGUGGCCCGAGCCCACAAGGUUGGGACCCGGCCACCCCGAGCCGCGGCGGCCACGGGGGCCCCCUCCCAAGGGGCAGGCCCAGGCCCCUGCCCGAAUGGGCUUGCUGGUCAGCUUGGAGCACGCGGCGGGGGGCCCAUGCCCUCCUCCCUGAGGGGGAGAUCGCGGGGUCCCCAGGGACGGACCGGAGGACACCGGGAAGCCUCGAGGAGCCUGCUAAAAACUGGCUUUGUCUGGCCUUGUGAGGACGGGGGUGUGGGGCGGGGACGGGCGUGUCCUGGGCCGUGGGGUCUCGGGCCACAGUUUUUCCAGGUGGCAGCCACGGCAGAAGGGCCUUUGCCUCAUGGGAGCCACAGACGCGGGACGGCCAGGCCGGUGGAGGGGCGCCCGCUCUCUGUUUGCGGGCGGUCGCCAUGGCGGCGCGGGCGGCGCCGGCCCGGGCCCUGCGGGCUCUGUUUGGGGCCGGUCGCCAUGGCGACCCUUGUUUGUUUCGACGUUACCAUGUGUCGGAUUUCAAACGAGUUUCUCACAGCUCCGUCCCCUGACGGAACACUCUUGUCACUAUUGUUACCGAGACAAAGGCGCCGCCCAGCCACAGCCCCAGCCGGUCCGCCUGAGAUCCUAAUUAGCCCCGCCUCAGCGUGCACAGCAGCGGAACGUCCCCGACUAUGGGUCCCCACCACGCUGUGCCCUUCCAUCCUGCCUGUGUGCUCGCGGCCCGCACAGGUGGAGAGGCCUGGCCCGAGGGGACCAGGCGUGGUGGGCGUCCCUGCCACACACACGCCUGUCUGCUGGGUGCUCUGGGUUCCUGGAGGGACACGGGGCCGGCGCCUGAACCGGUUAGGGAGGAGCUGGGGGGGCUCCCUGGGGCCUGUCUGCCACCAGCCUGCUCCCUUCUUGCCGCACACCCCGUGCCUCUCCAGGACACGGCGGGAACCGUCUCGGGCAGGGAGCUGGGACAGCGGACCCGAGCCUUCGGCCUGGAGCGCAGACGCCGUCCCCCGCCGUCCAGCAGCCGCAGGAGAGGUCCCCCAGGACAGCGCGGUGGUGGGGUGGGGGUGCCCACAGGAGGGGCGGGCGAGAGCCGGCAGAGCUGUUGUGCCGUGAUGUCUGAGACGGUGGCCGGGACAGAGCUGACCCUCCCCCAGGCCGCGUCUGCCCGGGGCCUUUCCUGCCCUGCCUCCCGACAGGCUAGGGGGCAUUCAGGGUCAGCGCGGCCAUGUGGCCUCGUCCUCCUCUGUGGAGCCCUCUCAUGCUCCCAGAGGCAGUACGAGCCCCUGCACUGGGUGGCCUGGCGUAUCUGUGGUCGAGGGUCCAGGCCACAGAGAACAGGGAUCCUGGCCGCACAGCUCCCUCUCCCUGACGAGGGCUGGGUCCCAGUGCAUGAUGGCCUCCUAAGACGAGGACCUUCCCCAAACACCCAGAAAUGGCUUCAGAGACCUCGGUGCAGCUGUCCCCUCCAGCCCCCCGCCGGUCCCCGCCCCGCCCCCGCCACAGCCAGGGUGGCAGUUAGGCGGGGAUGGGGUGGCGGGAGCUGCCCUCCCCGGGCAAGCCCAGCCCCAGACACCUGCACGAAGUUAGGGGGACGCUAGGGUGGUUUUGCCCUACCUGGGGAGAGGGAACGCAGACUUGGGGCCACAGCUGCCCCUUUAGGCAGGUUCAGGGCCUGCACGUGCCCCUGCAGACCUCCAGCAUCAUGGUCGUCAGCGGCAGGGGGGAGCCCUGGGCCAGAGCGAGGGAACCACUGUGUGUCAGGAGGGUCUGGCCGCCAUCGGCGGUCCCCCUGGAGCACCCGGCCUGGGAGCUGCUGCAGGCCACAGGCACAGCGGAGCUCCCGGCUCCCCCCACCCCUGCUGGGAGCAUCUCAGAGGCCCCUUCUUCCCACGGACUUCAUCAGGGCCUGCAGUGGAUUCCCACUGGCAUCCAGGCGGCUGUCCGGACAGGUCAGCCGGGGCCCUGGCUUUGCUGCUCAGGGAAGGCAAGGAGAGCCGGCAGCUUUCUCCCAACCCUGAGUGGCCAGCUGUCCGUGAUGGCCAGCACGCUGGCUGCCGCCGGUCAGAGAGGUGCCCCCGGGAGUGCCCUCCACCUGUUUGCAGAGGUGCUGGUGAGGAGGUGGUGGCUCAAAGCUUGGGAGCCUUCCCAGUGCUGGCCUGGGUGGCCUGCACAUGCAUCUAUCUUUGAGGACUGUACUGGUCCCCUGCCUCGCUCCCAGGUGCCCUUGGUGUUCCUGGGUAACCUCUGGUACUGGCAGGGUCCAGCUCUCUGCCCACCCGGAGUUAGGUCUGGAGGCCUGGGGGACACAGGGCUGGGGAAGCCAAGUGCAACCCCAGCUCACAGGGCCUUGUUAUGACCAGUGGCCCCGUUACUCCUGGGCUGGCUUUCCAGCAGGGUGCUGGCCGGCCGGGCUGGAGACGCGAGGAGAGGGGUUCAUUGUGGGGACACCCUCUAGUUCUGUGAGCUCCGGAGAACAGGCUUACUCUGUGUCCAGAGAGCAGUGUGAUGUGAUCAGUGUCUCUGGGGAAGAGACAGGCAUUGUCAUUCUAGAACUUGCUGGGGACAGCUCUCUGCAGCGGGGCACUGGGGCCCCUGGGGAGAACUCCCUGCGGGGCAGCCACGGCGGGGACACUUGGGGACACCCAGCCGAGCCAGGUGGAGCGGGCCUGCAAGUCCACCAGCUCUGAAUGUGGCCUCUGACGGGAGCCCCCGCGAGCCGUGCCCCCGCCCCCGGCCCCAGUGACUCACACUGGCGGCGCCUGGUGCCGCGGGGCCCGGAGAGGGCUGCGUGCUCCGGCGGCCAGGCCCCCAAAUGCGACCCGGGCAGGGCGUGAAUAGGAGACGGGGGUGCCUUGGAUGGCCCAGGACAAACAAACGGCCUCGGCCAGGGCACGCGGGGUUCUCUGUGCUGGGCAGCGGCUCUGGGGACCGUGCGGCCCAGGCCGGUUUGCUCAGAGGCUGACUGCUCCAGGAGCAGAACCCACCACCCGCUGCUGGACUUGAGGAAGCCCCGCGUCCACCAGGUCCCCAGACCCUGCUGUGAGGUCACAGCCGGGGCCGUGCCCUUCCUGACUGUGGGUCACCAGUCAGCACAUCCUGUGUCGUGGGCCCGCGAGUCCCCGUGUGUGCCAUCGGCCCCUGGCUAUGUAGUUCGCCUGGGUCUCCAGGUGGCUUCUCCCUCAUAGGGCCCAGGUGUGGGGCCUGGGGCCAGGACUGCAGAACCCCAACCACGGUGUCCGAGCGCCUGGAGGCCCGCAGCCUCUCGCUGUCGCUGCUUUGGUCCUGGUGGCUGGCCGGCAGGUGUGUGGGGGGCUUCGAGGCGGCUCUCCCCGGCGGCCGGCUCAGUGGGGCUCGCCGCUAGCACCUUCCUGCACAAAGUGGCUCAGAAUUUGCUCGGAUUUCGGACUGGGUUUUCCUGCUGCUGAGCCUGAAGGUGUCUUUUUCUGGUGUGUGUGUGCAUGUUUCCCCUGGUCUGUGGCUGGCUUUGGAACGAAAGACACGGUUUUCAAAAUUUUGACAAAUUCCAGUUCCUUUUUUCUUUUAUGGACUGUUUUGGUGGGAUUUCUCAGAAAUCUCUGCCUCCUCCAAGGUCAGAGUUGUUCUCUGAGGUACUCAGGGAAGCGUAGUUUAGGAUCUAGGAUGAACCCAGGCGCCGUCCGGAGCUGGGCGGCUGGCGCUCGUCCCCCACCGGACGGUCUUUGCUUCUCUGGGAACCCCCGUGUGGCUGUGUCCCUGGGGCUGCGGCUCUCAGUCCCUCGGCCGGCUCUUGGCUGUUCUGGGCCCUCUGCUCGUGGACUUCUGCGGAGCCGCCUGCUGGGUGCUCUGGGGCCGUUGCACCCAGCACCCUGCUGACAGGGUGGACAGGGUGUCCGUGGGGAGCCGUCUGCACGGGACCUCUCUGAAUGGGUCAGCACGGGAAAGCCAGUUGGAGUGGCAAAAAUGGUUUUUAGCUAAAACUAUACAAAACGCGGAGGCAGUUCAGAAGCCUUGUGUGAUCUUGUGAACGGCCCACCGUGGGGGACCGACACGGCUGCACCUGCCCCCCAGCUCCCCUCUGUGACCCUCAGGUGGGUGGCCCUGGCCUGGCCCUGAGCGGCUUCCAGGCAGGGGCGGUGGGGGUCCUGCGAGUCAGGGCCAGGCCCUGGGCCCACGUUGCUGGGUGUCCUGGGGUGGCGCCCCCCCACCGUGUCCCUGUGUGGUCACGGAAUGUCGGGCUAGGGCGGCCCCAGGCAGGACUCGGCCCCUGUUACCGUUCAGGUGCAAAGUGUGUCGUGCCCCGACUGUCCCUCCUGCGUCGAGUGGACGCCACACACGCCCCGUUUGAGAACCCGACGACAGCUCUGUUUUGAUGUCCAGUUGUUCAUAAAGGAUGUGGCUCCUUUAAGCUUUUUUCCAAGACAAUUUAUAUUUGGUGCUGUUGCCCAUGGCGACCGACUGUUGGGCAUAAACAGUGCACAACAGGGAGGGGGAGGGGCAGAUUCUGUAUUUUUACGUUGCACACGAUUUCCGCUGUGGGAGAGAGGCGGGGGUUCCCCGAGAGGGAAGUCCUGCCGGACCAUCACGUUCGAGCAGUUCAAGGAGGCGCUGGAAGAGCUCUCCAAGAAGAGGUUCAAAGACAAGAGCAGCGAAGAGGCUGUCCGCGAGGUGCACAGGCUCAUCGAGGGCAAGUCCCCUG